GUUUGAUUGAUCGAUUCUUCCAAUCUCACCUUUCUUUAUCAGCCUUCAAAUUCUAUGAGAAUAUAUUAAAGGGUUCAAGAAAUAUAUGAAAAUCUCAUAAAAUCAACAAAAAAGAGUGUCAAAUUUGAACUCGGGAAAAGAAAUUGAAACUAUCAAAACAACAAAUAGGUAGCUGAUGGAAGGGAGGAUAAGAGUUGAACUAAACAUGAAAAACAUGGCUGCCAUUUGCAAAAAAUGAGUGUGAGUGGAGGUUGUGACCUGUGGGAUGUGGCUGUGAGCACGAGAAGUGAGAUUGGAAGGGUUGUUACAACUCGAUGGAAGUAUAGGCCAUGAGCAAUGGCUGCGAU
This 347-nucleotide unclassified non-coding RNA is filed under the name Hevea brasiliensis (rubber tree). The record is from RNAcentral. Lineage: Eukaryota; Viridiplantae; Streptophyta; Magnoliopsida; Malpighiales; Euphorbiaceae.